UACGUAGGGGGCUAGCGUUGUCCGGAAUCAUUGGGCGUAAAGCGCGCGUAGGCGGCCCGGUAAGUCCGCUGUAAAAGUCCAGGGCUCAACCCUGGAACGCCGGUGGAUACUGUCGGGCUAGAGUCCGGAAGAGGCGAGUGGAAUUCCUGGUGCAGCGGUGGAAUGCGCAGAUAUCAGGAGGAACACCAAUGGCGAAGGCAGCUCACUGGGACGGUAUUGACGCUGAGACGCGAAAGCGUGGGGAGCGAACAGG
Molecule: ribosomal RNA, 253 nt
Filed under: uncultured bacterium
Lineage: Bacteria
Description: partial 16S ribosomal RNA
Rfam family: Bacterial small subunit ribosomal RNA
Source: RNAcentral